Molecule: ribosomal RNA, 684 nt
Filed under: Listeria monocytogenes
Lineage: Bacteria; Bacillati; Bacillota; Bacilli; Caryophanales; Listeriaceae
Description: bacterial LSU rRNA
Rfam family: Bacterial large subunit ribosomal RNA
Source: RNAcentral
GGGGCUAAACAUAUUACCGAAGCUGUGGAUUGUCCUUUGGACAAUGGUAGGAGAGCGUUCUAAGGGCGUCGAAGCAUGAUCGCAAGGACAUGUGGAGCGCUUAGAAGUGAGAAUGCCGGUGUGAGUAGCGAAAGACGGGUGAGAAUCCCGUCCACCGAUUGACUAAGGUUUCCAGAGGAAGGCUCGUCCGCUCUGGGUUAGUCGGGUCCUAAGCUGAGGCCGACAGGCGUAGGCGAUGGAUAACAGGUUGAUAUUCCUGUACCACCUAGUAUCGUUUUAAUCGAUGGGGGGACGCAGUAGGAUAGGCGAAGCGUGCUGUUGGAGUGCACGUCCAAGCAGUAAGGCUGAGUGUUAGGCAAAUCCGGCACUCAUAAGGCUGAGCUGUGAUGGGGAGAGGAAAUUGUUUCCUCGAGUCGUUGAUUUCACACUGCCGAGAAAAGCCUCUAGAUAGAUAACAGGUGCCCGUACCGCAAACCGACACAGGUAGUCAAGAUGAGAAUUCUAAGGUGAGCGAGCGAACUCUCGUUAAGGAACUCGGCAAAAUGACCCCGUAACUUCGGGAGAAGGGGUGCUCUUUAGGGUUCACGCCCAGAAGAGCCGCAGUGAAUAGGCCCAAGCGACUGUUUAUCAAAAACACAGGUCUCUGCUAAACCGUAAGGUGAUGUAUAGGGGCUGACGCCUGCC